CCUACGGGGGGCAGCAGUAGGGAAUUUUCGGCAACGGGGGGAACCCUGACCGAGCAACGCCGCGUGAACGAAGAAGUUAUUCGUAAUGUAAAGUUCUUUUAACAGGGAAGCAAGAGAAAUUUGACGGUACCUGAAGAAUAAGCACCGGCUAACUACGUGCCAGCAGCCGCGGUAAUACGUAGGGAGCGAGCGUUAUCCGGAAUUAUUGGGCGUAAAGGGUGCGUAGAUGGCAUAGUAAGUCUUUUGUAAAAAUGCUGGGCUAAACCCAGUAGGGAAAAAGAUACUGCAAAGCUAGAGUAUGACAGAGGAAAGUGGAACUACAGGUGUGGCGGUAAAAUGCGUGAAAAUGAGUAAGAAAACCAGUGGCGAAGGCGGCUUGCGGAGUCGAUACGGACAUUGAGGCACGAAAGCGUGGGGGGCAAACAGGAUUAGAUACCCGAGUAGUC
RNAcentral lists this ribosomal RNA (446 nucleotides) under uncultured bacterium. RNAcentral's name for it is "partial 16S ribosomal RNA". It matches the Rfam family "Bacterial small subunit ribosomal RNA", at positions 338 to 795 of the family's 1533-position model. The record is from RNAcentral.